GCAGUCUGCAACUCGACUGCACGAAGCUGGAAUCGCUAGUAAUCGCGGAUCAGCACGCCGCGGUGAAUACGUUCCCGGGCCUUGUACACACCGCCCGUCACACCAUGGAAGUCUGCAAUGCCCGAAGCCGGUGGCCUAACCACUUAUGUGGAAGGAGCCGUCUAAGGCAGGGCAGAUGACUGGGGGUGAAGUCGUAACAAGGUACC
Molecule: ribosomal RNA, 206 nt
Filed under: uncultured bacterium
Lineage: Bacteria
Description: partial 16S ribosomal RNA
Rfam family: Bacterial small subunit ribosomal RNA
Source: RNAcentral